RNAcentral lists this long non-coding RNA (373 nucleotides) under Mus musculus (house mouse). Its description in RNAcentral is "long non-coding RNA chr11:75710772-75711145". The record is from RNAcentral. Lineage: Eukaryota; Metazoa; Chordata; Mammalia; Rodentia; Muridae.
GGUUUGAAGAUCAUCUAUCUAAAGUAUAUCUGAAUAGGCAAAUGUUGCUUGUUUCUAGCUAUUUACUAUUUUACUUUGAAAACAUCUGCAAUAGGCUAAAUAAAAGCUUAUUUUUGUAAUAAACUAAACCUGUACAUAACAUGACCACGAGUUUGACUGACUACUAUCUUGCAAUUCUUAAUUAUCCUAAACAGUUUGUAAUAGUAGUGUUCAAAAGAACUAGAGCUUUACAUUUUAGAUAGUUACAUAGGUACAAUACCUUAAAACAAAAGGUGAAACAUGUAAUAUGUUGUACCAAAACUAACCUUAAAUUUCUAUCAUAGAGCCGGGCGUGGUGGCGCAUGCCAGGACUACACAGAGAAACCCUGUCUCG